AAGGUGUUAAAACGUAACCGAAUGCGG
Molecule: small RNA, 27 nt
Filed under: Bombyx mori (domestic silkworm)
Lineage: Eukaryota; Metazoa; Arthropoda; Insecta; Lepidoptera; Bombycidae
Description: ovarian small RNA-4307
Source: RNAcentral